GCGCAGCAGUCGAGAAUUUUUCUCAAUGGGGGCAACCCUGAAGGAGCGACGCCGCGUGGAGGAUGAAGGCUUUCGGGUUGUAAACUCCUGUCAUUUGAGAACAAGUGGCCGAACCUAACUACUUCGGCCUUGAUAGUAUCAGAAGAGGAAGGGACGGCUAACUCUGUGCCAGCAGCCGCGGUAAUACAGAGGUCCCAAGCGUUGUUCGGAUUCAUUGGGCGUAAAGGGUGCGUAGGUGGCGCCGUCAGUGGGGUGUGAAAUUUCGGAGCUUAACUCCGAAACUGCAUUCCAUACUGCGGUGCUUGAGGACUGGAGAGGAGACUGGAAUUUACGGUGUAGCAGUGAAAUGCGUAGAGAUCGUAAGGAAGACCAGUGGCGAAGGCGGGUCCCUGGACAGUUCCUGACACUGAGGCACGAAGGCCAGGGGAGCAAACGGGAUUAGAUACCCCUGUAGU
Molecule: ribosomal RNA, 455 nt
Filed under: uncultured organism
Description: bacterial SSU rRNA
Rfam family: Bacterial small subunit ribosomal RNA
Source: RNAcentral